This 302-nucleotide ribosomal RNA is filed under the name uncultured bacterium. Its description in RNAcentral is "partial 16S ribosomal RNA". It matches the Rfam family "Bacterial small subunit ribosomal RNA", at positions 508 to 807 of the family's 1533-position model. The record is from RNAcentral.
GCAGCCGCCGCGGGAAUACGUAGGUGGCAAGCGUUGUCCGGAAUUAUUGGGCGUAAAGCGCGCGCAGGUGGUUUAAUAAGUCUGAUGUGAAAGCCCACGGCUCAACCGUGGAGGGUCAUUGGAAACUGUUAAACUUGAGUGCAGGAGAGAAAAGUGGAAUUCCUAGUGUAGCGGUGAAAUGCGUAGAGAUUAGGAGGAACACCAGUGGCGAAGGCGGCUUUUUGGCCUGUAACUGACACUGAGGCGCGAAAGCGUGGGGAGCGAACAGGAUUAGAUACCCGCGUAGUCCCUGUCUCUUAUAC